RNAcentral lists this ribosomal RNA (427 nucleotides) under uncultured Bacillota bacterium. RNAcentral describes it as "bacterial SSU rRNA". It matches the Rfam family "Bacterial small subunit ribosomal RNA", at positions 958 to 1381 of the family's 1533-position model. Lineage: Bacteria; Bacillati; Bacillota. The record is from RNAcentral.
AACGCGAAGAACCUUACCAGGUCUUGACAUCCUCUGACAAUCCUAGAGAUAGGACGUUCCCCUUCGGGGGACAGAGUGACAGGUGGUGCAUGGUUGUCGUCAGCUCGUGUCGUGAGAUGUUGGGUUAAGUCCCGCAACGAGCGCAACCCUUGAUCUUAGUUGCCAGCAUUCAGUUGGGCACUCUAAGGUGACUGCCGGUGACAAACCGGAGGAAGGUGGGGAUGACGUCAAAUCAUCAUGCCCCUUAUGACCUGGGCUACACACGUGCUACAAUGGAUGGUACAAAGGGCUGCAAAACCGCGAGGUCGAGCCAAUCCCAUAAAACCAUUCUCAGUUCGGAUUGUAGGCUGCAACUCGCCUACAUGAAGCUGGAAUCGCUAGUAAUCGUGGAUCAGCAUGCCACGGUGAAUACGUUCCCGGGCUUGUA